GAUGAACGCUGGCGGCGUGCCUAAUACAUGCAAGUCGAGCGAACAGACGAGGAGCUUGCUCCUCUGACGUUAGCGGCGGACGGGUGAGUAACACGUGGAUAACCUACCUAUAAGACUGGGAUAACUUCGGGAAACCGGAGCUAAUACCGGAUAAUAUAUUGAACCGCAUGGUUCAAUAGUUAAAGACGGUUUUGCUGUCACUUAUAGAUGGAUCCGCGCCGCAUUAGCUAGUUGGUAAGGUAACGGCUUACCAAGGCAACGAUGCGUAGCCGACCUGAGAGGGUGAUCGGCCACACUGGAACUGAGACACGGUCCAGACUCCUACGGGAGGCAGCAGUAGGGAAUAUUCCGCAAAGGGCGAAAGCCUGACGGAGCAACGCCGCGUGAGUGAUGAAGGUCUUCGGAUCGUAAAACUCUGUUAUUAGGGAAGAACAAAUGUGUAAGUAACUAUGCACGUCUUGACGGUACCUAAUCAGAAAGCCACGGCUAACUACGUG
Molecule: ribosomal RNA, 497 nt
Filed under: uncultured bacterium
Lineage: Bacteria
Description: partial 16S ribosomal RNA
Rfam family: Bacterial small subunit ribosomal RNA
Source: RNAcentral